RNAcentral lists this ribosomal RNA (471 nucleotides) under Conchiformibius steedae. RNAcentral's name for it is "bacterial SSU rRNA". It matches the Rfam family "Bacterial small subunit ribosomal RNA", at positions 9 to 476 of the family's 1533-position model. Lineage: Bacteria; Pseudomonadati; Pseudomonadota; Betaproteobacteria; Neisseriales; Neisseriaceae. The record is from RNAcentral.
GAGUUUGAUUAUGGCUCAGAUUGAACGCUGGCGGCAUGCUUUACACAUGCAAGUCGAACGGCAGCGGGGAAGUGCUUGCACUUCUGCCGGCGAGUGGCGAACGGGUGAGUAAUGCAUUGGAACGUACCGGGUAAUGGGGGAUAACUUGCCGAAAGGUAAGCUAAUACCGCAUACGCUCUUAGGAGGAAAGCGGGGGAUCGUUUGACCUCGCGUUAUCCGAGCGGCCAAUGUCUGAUUAGCUAGUUGGUGGGGUAAAAGCCUACCAAGGCAACGAUCAGUAGCGGGUCUGAGAGGAUGAUCCGCCACACUGGGACUGAGACACAGCCCAGACUCCUACGGGAGGCAGCAGUGGGGAAUUUUGGACAAUGGGCGCAAGCCUGAUCCAGCCAUGCCGCGUGUCUGAAGAAGGCCUUCGGGUUGUAAAGGACUUUUGUACGGGAAGAAAAAGUUGUGGCUAAUACCCAUGACUGA